GAGGUGUGCGAAUUAGUCAUUGUUACAAAGCCGAAUUUAGUACCUGUGUGCCCCAUUUUAAGCAUGAUGAAAAUUCAUAAAGAAUACACAGAAUGAUCCUUGAAAUAAAAUGUUCUGACUCUCACAGACUGUUUAAAUAGUAAGACUGAGUAAAGUGCGCAGUUGUGAUUAGCACCAUCUGAUACUCGGUUGUUUGGGUGGGUGGUUUACCCCUGUAGUCCCAACACUGAGGCUGAGGCAGGGGGAUUGAGAGAGGCCCACCCCCUUUUUUACAUAGUGAUACCCAGUCUCUGCCUGGGGAUGGAAUCCAUAAUAGAUAAAACUGUCCAGAAAGGCACCUACAAUGUAAAGUCCUAGUGUGAAACCUAAGGUUAGGCAAAAUAAACCUUAUCCAGCUAUAUAAUACCCCCUCCAUUUCAAAGUUUUGUGCUGUCAACACCAUAGCAAUAAAGAGAUGAGAAAGGGGAAGGAAAAAUAACAAUGACAGUUUUGUUUGUUCUUUCAGUAAGUGUUUAUUCAAUCCUUAGUUCCGUGUACCUGGACUAUAGAAAACAAAAACUGCAUAGGAAAUUCCUACCCACAAAGGCCUGAAGCUUCGUAAAGUGAACAAGAGAAGCAGAUUUCAACAGAGCACAGAGGUGGCCCUAACAGCUAUGAGAAGAAGGACGUGCAGGCUGGGAGGAAGCACCAAGAACUGUGGACAGACUCCAGGGUUGGUAGGACCUCUGGUGGGAAUAUCAAGGAGAUGGUGGAAGGGGCAGGGCUGAGUUUUGGGGCCGGACCACGUCUGAGGACUCAGCCCUGGGAAUCAUGGACGAUUUCUGAUGCCUUGCUGCAGAUGAAAGGAGAAAAGAAAGCAGAAGGUGAGGCUUGAGCAGGGGUCCUGAUUUUAAGCAGCAGAGG
This 903-nucleotide long non-coding RNA is filed under the name Cricetulus griseus (Chinese hamster). Its description in RNAcentral is "lncRNA (ENSCGRG00000024629.1)". Lineage: Eukaryota; Metazoa; Chordata; Mammalia; Rodentia; Cricetidae. The record is from RNAcentral.